UGGGGAAUAUUGGACAAUGGGCGCAAGCCUGAUCCAGCCAUGCCGCGUGAGUGAUGAAGGCCCUAGGGUUGUAAAGCUCUUUUGUGCGGGAAGAUAAUGACGGUACCGCAAGCAUAAGCCCCGGCUAACUACGUGCCAGCAGCCGCGGUAAUACGUAGGCCGCAAGCGUUGUUCGGAGUUACUGGGCGUAAAGAGUGCGUAGGCGGUUUUCUAAGUUCGGUGUGAAAUCUCCCGGCUUAACUGGGAGGGUGCGCCGAAGACUGGGAAGCUGGAGUGUGGGAAAGGCAGGCGGAAUUCCUGGUGUAGCGGUGAAAUGCGUAGAUAUCAGGAGGAACACCGGCGGUGUAGACGGCUUGCUAAACCAUAACUGACGCUGAGGCACGAAAGCGUGGGGAGCAAACA
Molecule: ribosomal RNA, 402 nt
Filed under: uncultured bacterium
Lineage: Bacteria
Description: bacterial SSU rRNA
Rfam family: Bacterial small subunit ribosomal RNA
Source: RNAcentral